Molecule: long non-coding RNA, 1189 nt
Organism: Protopterus annectens (West African lungfish)
Lineage: Eukaryota; Metazoa; Chordata; Ceratodontiformes; Protopteridae
Exons: 2
Source: RefSeq, a predicted model, not a curated record
CUCAGCUUCAGGACACCCACACUGCUUUUUCUGCCACCUUGAGCUGGGAUCCGACUGGGAAGUGCCUUCUACAUUUGUUCGAUACGUGGAUGUGGAAUUCAACAUGCCAGCCACAACAGCAUCACAUGCUUCUGUCAGAUCUAUCUCAGUGCAGGACAGACCUGAAGUGAAGAGAUGGCUGAACUACAGUGCACACUACAGCUAUAAGGUGGAAAUUGAACAGAAGCUCCAAAAACUGUAUGCUGGUCCAGACGAACAAAGCAACCAGGGGAAUCAGUGUUCAGUGCAGUGAAUGCAUCAUCAAAGUCAAAAUGGUAGAAAGCUGGUAUGCUCCAACUCAAUAUCAGCUUUGGAUUUCUUUUUAAAGGUGGAUAUCAUUUGUUUCAUGUGAUGCACUUCAUGGACGUCUAAGCAAGUUCGCAAUUAAAUGAGUAAAAUGGAAUGUGCUUCUGAAUGUUUUAUCCUACAACUUAAAUGUUAACAUUUGAAAGUAUUUAUGAGUGCAAGAUAGUGAUCUUUAAUUUCAUUCUGAUACUAGAUAAGUGAUGCCACAGGAAUUGUACAUUUCCACAGUCAUUUUGUACAGAUGAGACAAUGUUCUCAUUGUGGAACAAAUAACACAGGGUGUUGUAAUAUGCACUAGGCAUCACUGAUUGAUGUGCAUGUCAUGUAUUUACUAGUGCUGCCUGCUGUGAAUGCAAUGCAGUGAGUAGCAUCACCUGAUCUGCAUGUAGUAGGUGGCAUUCUCUGAUUGGAUAACAUGCUGUGGGCAGCACUGCCUGAUGUGUAUGUUGUGCAUACCCUAUAUACUUAUUAUGUUGUGUCAUCACCAGAUGUGCAUGUUAUGGUGUGGGCAGUAUUACCUGAUGUACACGUCAUAUAAGUGAGUGCAUGUCAUUCUAUGUGGAAUAUCACAAUGUCUAUUUUAUAUCAUGUACUGAAUAAAGUUUUCUGGUCUGUAUGUCAUGUGAUGAGUUUAUCCACUGGUAUGCAUGCCAUUUAGUAAAAGUCAUCACCUAAUGUUCAUGUCAUGUGAUACACUGGCUGCCUUAUGUACAUGUCAAUUACUAGGUAGUAUUUCCUAAUGUGUUAGGUGAUAUAGAUGAUGUACAUUUCAAUAUGUCAAUUUCAUGUUUUCUAUAUCUUUGUUUCUACUGUGACACCUAAUAAAGCAGAAUAUUUUAGAGAA